UUUAAAAUUUCUCAACGAGAAUUCAAAAUUUUGUAUCAGAUUUCUGAACGCAUAGUCGCGCCCCCGCGCGCGCGCCGCUUCUGUCGCCCUCAUUGACGUUUUUCAUGCAGCCGCGGCCAUUACGUCCUAUUAAAAUAAAAAAGUAUUUAUAUCAAAUAAAGGACGAAAUAUGUAAAGAAGAAAAUAAAAUAGUAUAUCUUAUUUACCAAUAUUGCGGAAUAGAAGAAAAAAUAAGAAGAUUGGAGAAGAUUCAAGAGCAUACGCGUUCAAAUCCAAAUACGGCGUCCUUUCGUUGGAAAAGGCCCAGACGCGUUACAUACCGAUCGAUGGAUCAUGGUCUUCAACCUAUUCUAGGUCUGCAAUUCUGCAUCAUCUAGAUCCCUAUCUCCGCCAGCGGCGUAGAGAAGUAGAUAUCGCUCGGUAUCCAGAUGUAAGCCUCGCUCUCAAAUAGUGCCAGCAUUCGGUUAAUUAUUUAAUACACAUAAUAUUCCGAAAAGGAACAUUAAUUAUAAUCAGAUAAAUAAUUAAGAACAUUAUAAAAGAAGUAUGACCCGGACAAGAUUACAAAAGACUACUCUGCGCUGUAACAAAUUAUUGGUCCUCCGAAGAUGAACCCAGAGACUUAAGCUGCAGCUGGCGAGAUUCUUGCCAGUGGGGAACGAGGCUAAGUAUUGAAAUGAUACAAAUAAAGUUUCCUGUUCUCUAACUGAGAUGAUUAAGCUCUAAAAAAUUGUGUACUGUACCAGCUAUAAGAAGAUAUUGUCAUUUUUAAGUGAUUCUGUUCAUUUUUAGUGUUCCGUACAAAACUUUGUUUACGGAACACUUAUGGGAUCACUUCGGUCUUGUUUGAAAUUAAAUAAUGAAUCAUAAUAAAUGGCAUAAGAGGUUUAUUAAAUCUUUUAAACAUGCUGUUGACAAGUGAUGUUUUAGGAACAUCUAGCAGAAAAAGUUUAAUCUCCGGCAGCCCAGCCCGUAAGCCUGGUACUUUAAACUUCAAAGGCUCAACUACCAAUCAUAUUUUCUAACGUAUGAUUUGCUGUUGUAUUUGUUUCAUACAAAAAAGUAUUAUUAAACAUAACAAUAUACAAAAACCCCUGGUCAAAAGCAAGGAAGAGGAAGCGGAGCAAGACUUUUCCUCUCUGCAUUCACAAUGUGGUCGCACACAGCGACACCACAACAGCUUGUGUUCGUUUAGAACAAAUUCUUAAAAGCAGUGGUUUUUUUUUUUUUUUUUUACAUACAAGGAUUUUGUCCGGGCUAUCUCAUACAAAGUUCCUUUUUUAUCUGUGCCAACACCUACAAGUAUUCCGAAAUAUGAUCACAUCUGUGAAAUUGAUAGUCGAAUACUAGAAAAAUAAUGUUCACUUUAUAUGUACAGCAAGGCAAGAUCCAUAUAUCAACAUAAGCACAUUUAGGUAGUGCAACUGAGCGGUUUUAAGUUAACAAGAUAUUAGAAUUGCCAGAAACUAAGAACACAAAAAUUGUUAAAUGAGCACUAGCUCCAAGAUGUUUUUACUUGAUUGCUUGAAUGUAGAAAACAUAUCUGUUUCAUGUGGAAAGAUGAGAUUUCAGUUUUUAGUCCUAACUAUUAAACUAGAUAUCUCUCUAGCUAGAUAUAUGUGCCAGACCUUUUAUGAAGUGUUUAAAAUCACAUACACACACACGGUUUAGAUUAUAGAUAUAUCUAUUGUUGAUACUCCUUAUAACAAAUGUUAUACUAUGUAGGUACUUAUACAGGAUACACUUAAUUAUAGUCUUGGUACCAUUACCUAUGUGGAGUUAUAAUCAAAUGGAACUAGCUCCUUAGUACCUCUGAAAGCUGGUUACUAUAUAUAUAGAUUUAUUUCUUUACCUACUAAGGAAAAAAUUCAAAGUUAAUCUAAAGAUAAAGCCCUUUAUAAAUUGGUACAUUGCUAAUACAAAUUGGUUGUUUGUAUAGUUAUAAGUUUUGCUAAUGAAUAUGGCUAUGUGUAUGUUUACACAAACGCUUUAAGGGUUAAAGAGCUGAAAAGACAAUAAUACAUACUUAUACUAAAUUCAAUAUAUUUUAAAGAAACCUAGUGUGACAUUUUUUGGUGGCUCAUUAAAAUAAAGAAUUAUAAAUAUACUUUCUGCUGAUAUUUACUUACUUACAGUAACAGUUUAUUUACAUGCUGGGGCGGCCGAUUAGAAAUGAGUUAGCUGUUGGAUUAUGGAAGGAGUCAAAAAGAAUAUAUAUUACAUUAAAUUUGUUCAGCUUA
This is a long non-coding RNA of Cydia fagiglandana, 2240 nucleotides long. RefSeq lists it as uncharacterized. NCBI's taxonomy places the organism in Eukaryota, Metazoa, Arthropoda, Insecta, Lepidoptera, Tortricidae. The record is from RefSeq and is a predicted model, not a curated record. The transcript has 2 exons.